UGGGGAAUAUUGCACAAUGGGCGCAAGCCUGAUGCAGCAACGCCGCGUGAGGGACGACGGCCUUCGGGUUGUAAACCUCUUUUAGUAGGGAAGAAGCGAAAGUGACGGUACCUGCAGAAAAACGCACCGGCUAACUACGUGCCAGCAGCCGCGGUAAUACGUAGGGUGCGAGCGUUGUCCGGAAUUAUUGGGCGUAAAGAGCUCGUAGGCGGUCUGUCGCGUCUGCUGUGAAAACCCGAGGCUCAACCUCGGGCCUGCAGUGGGUACGGGCAGACUAGAGUGCGGUAGGGGAGAAUGGAAUUCCUGGUGUAGCGGUGGAAUGCGCAGAUAUCAGGAGGAACACCGAUGGCGAAGGCAGUUCUCUGGGCCGUAACUGACGCUGAGGAGCGAAAGCGUGGGGAGCGAACAGGAUUAGAUACCCUGGUAGUCCACGCCGUAAACGUUGGGCGCUAGAUGUGGGGCACCAUUCCACGGUUUCCGUGUCGCAGCUAACGCAUU
This 498-nucleotide ribosomal RNA is filed under the name uncultured bacterium. RNAcentral's name for it is "partial 16S ribosomal RNA". It matches the Rfam family "Bacterial small subunit ribosomal RNA", at positions 355 to 861 of the family's 1533-position model. The record is from RNAcentral.